UACGGGGGGAGCAAGCGUUGUUCGGAUUUACUGGGCGUAAAGGGCGCGUAGGCGGUCAGCACAAGUCAGUUGUGAAAUCUCCGGGCUUAACUCGGAAAGGUCAACUGAUACUGUGCGACUAGAGUGCAGAAGGGGCAACUGGAAUUCCUGGUGUAACGGUGAAAUGUGUUGAUAUCAGGAGGAACACCCAUGGCGAAGGCAGCAAACUGGGCAUCAACUGACGCUGAGGCGCGAAAGCGUGGGUAGCAAACAGG
RNAcentral lists this ribosomal RNA (254 nucleotides) under uncultured bacterium. Its description in RNAcentral is "partial 16S ribosomal RNA". It matches the Rfam family "Bacterial small subunit ribosomal RNA", at positions 524 to 776 of the family's 1533-position model. The record is from RNAcentral.